AUACAGAGGGUGCGAGCGUUAAUCGGAAUUACUGGGCGUAAAGCGCGCGUAGGCGGCUUGGUCAGUCGGAUGUGAAAGCCCCGGGCUCAACCUGGGAAUGGCAUUCGAUACUGCCAGGCUAGAGUAUGGGAGAGGGAAGUGGAAUUUCCGGUGUAGCGGUGAAAUGCGUAGAUAUCGGAAGGAACACCAGUGGCGAAGGCGACUUCCUGGCCCAAUACUGACGCUGAGGUGCGAAAGCGUGGGGAGCGAACAGGAUUAGAAACCCCAGUAGUCC
Molecule: ribosomal RNA, 274 nt
Filed under: uncultured bacterium
Lineage: Bacteria
Description: partial 16S ribosomal RNA
Rfam family: Bacterial small subunit ribosomal RNA
Source: RNAcentral